This is a non-coding RNA of Ictidomys tridecemlineatus (thirteen-lined ground squirrel), 73 nucleotides long. Lineage: Eukaryota; Metazoa; Chordata; Mammalia; Rodentia; Sciuridae. The record is from Rfam.
GGGGAUAUAGCUCAGUUGGUAGAGUGCUUGCCUUGCAUGCGUAAGGCCCUGGGUUCAAUCCCCGGAACUACCC